CGCCGGGGCAGCGGCGGGAGCUGCUCCCCCGGGGCUCUCCCGGUCCCGGGAUUCCGGGAUGCCGCUCCCCGCCUCAGCUGCGCCGCGCUCUGCUCUGGGGCGGAGCCGCCCCACCUGCGCGGGCCUGCCCGGCCCCGGCGAGCCGCUGCCUGCACGCCCGCCGGGGCCCGCCGCGGAACUCGGGCUUUGAGGCGCUUUUAUGGUUUAUUUUCUGCUUCUGUAAAUAAAAUCCCCAACAGACACCGUCCAGCAGACGGGCGUGGCCAGGGCGUACGCGUCCCUGUUUUCGUUUCCAGGCAGCGCCUCGGGAUUCACGAUGUGAAUCAUGCUGCUGUUUGACAUGUAAACAGCAGUAAAAGCCGCUCUCUUUCUAAACACUGGGAGUUUCAAAGUCGGCGAACCUGAUGGGCCAGUGCACCGGAUCCCCCGCAGGGGUCCGCCUUUUGGAGGAUCUUUGCCACCGGGAACAGCUUCCUGGGAAACCCCCGCGGGAGCCGCGUGUGACCCGGGAUGGGCGGAGAGGGAUUCACCUGUCCUGUGCCUUGGCCAUGCCCCAGCAAGCCCCGAUGCCGGGAUGUGUCGUAAUUUUAGAGUUUGCUAAUGAGCUUGCCUGUACGCCCUGCGCACCCGGUGUGCCUGGGGAUUGGCAGUUCAGGCUGGUAAUCCUGCUAACUUGGCCUUGGCAGGCGGGGAUGGCUCCUUUCAGUGUUCUGGGAUUGAGAUCUGGCUUCUUGCUGUGCACAGGGAAUGGCCGUGGAUGAGUAAAAUGAGGGAGAAAAUUAUCUUUGCUAACUCUUUUCAAUUCUGCCUUGGUGGUGCUUGUCUGCAUGCUUCCCUCUGCUAGCUCAGGUGGAUCCAACGUUUGCUGGGAAAGUAGUGAUAAAACUUUAAACUUCCAGUAAGCAGCACCUCUCUGAUAGUUAUUUAAAGCCUCUGUCUGCAUUGUUCCAGAACCAUUUCCUUUUUCCUCUAAGCAACCUAGAGUGGGAAGCUGACAAUCCCUCAGGUAGCCUGGUUCCACCUCGCUGGAAGCCACGCCUGAUGCUGGGUUGGAGGCCAGCAGAGCCCACGGAGGGUGAGAGAAGGGCUCCUCCUUCCUGCCUUUUGUGGAGCUGGCCAAAGAUAACACUCCUGGGCUGGUCCGGGCAGCACAGACCUUUUUGUCUUUACUCACAUAUUCCACUUUCAGGUCAGAAGAUUGGCAUUGAUGAGGCUGUAAAAUAGAUGUGCUUGCUGGAGAUAUCCUUCUUUACCCUUUGAAGUGCUCAGAAGCAUUCCCACUGAUUUCAGUGGAAAAGCUCCUUUGUCUGACGUGCUUCUCCGCGUGCCAAUCAGUAUUUUGCACUGACUGGAAGGGAAGGGGCAAGGCACUGCUUUAUGAUGAAUGUUUUUAGACUUGGCCAUUUUAAACAGUACAUGCAAUUUUCAGAUCAGUAAUUUGUAGUUGUUUGUCAGUUUGUUUUUAAGAACAGAUCCAGCAUCUUUGAUAUGGCUAUGGCUAAAAAUGAACAUAAAAAUACCCAGUUAUGACUGAAAAUUUUGCACUGUGAAAGCAAGAGUUAUUCCUGCAGUAGCAAAUAUGGCCUGCAGAGCAACAGAAAUGAGCUGAAAGCAAGAUGUUGAAAUCAAAUUGUAGGCCAGGUUUUUUGCCAGUGUCCUUCACAGUGCCAGUGGCGACCUGGAGUCCAGCAUUAUGUGAACACUUGCAUUUGGAGCCCAUCUCAGUCAUGCAGGGAAUCACUUUCCAAAAGCAGUUUUCCUGCCAACAGGGUUUGUUUGCUUGGUGAUAAGAAACAAUGGUCAACUCAGUUUGUUACUUGAGCAUUUUAGUGACUGAGGAGUCUGGCAUCCUGUACUAGAUCCAUUUUCUUAGCUACUCAAAUGCCAGCUUGGCAGCCUAUCUAGGAAGCUGAUAGCACUGGGACAGGCGUGAUUGUGGAGGUUGUUUUCAACAGUUUCUAGUAAGUCUGUUUUUAAGACACCUCUUUCCUUUUUUUCCUUUCCUGGGGAAAAAAAAAUCACAGUUACCACCUUCUUGAUUGGGAGGUCUGGAUGAGAGAGAGGAGGGAGACAUGGGCAUGCAGCUUAAUAUCCUACUUUUCAAAGUGCCUUAAAAACAGGACUGGGUUUAGUUUUGAGUAAGGCUGGUAUUUAUUCACUAGAAUGGUGUUGGCUAUAGUUAAGAGGAGGGAAAAGCAUUUCAUAGAGGACCUAAUGCCCCUUGUUGUGUUGGCAGAAAAACAACAAGAAAAAAUGUGAAUUUUCCAGUUACAGAUGAGGCAUCUAAUCUCUUCUGCUAAAGAAAGCAGAGUUAUACCCCAUUUUUUGACCUUUUUGGCCUCAUGUGUUCAAGCACCCAUUCAUUUCCCUCACAGGCCUUUCGAGUUGCCAGGAAUAGCUGGGAAGCUGUUUGCCAAAACCCUUCCAUCUGGGAAAAGCACCGUGCAUUUGCAGUGGGACUGUGCUGAGUCAGUGCAUUAUCUUGGUGCCAUUCCACGGGGCUGAAGAAGUCAGAACAAGACUGUCCUUGUGCCCAGGUCUCAAGUUGUGUCCCCAUGGCAUGAAGCUUCCCAGAGUCCUGAGGCUCGAUGUUGGGAUGAAACCCAGUGUUACUUGAGAAACCUUCAACGUGGUAUCCAUGGAGAGGACAACGCGCUCUAGAUACUCCGAGUGCAGCAGACAGCCGAGAUGUGCAUUGUUGGAAUCCAGAGGGUUUUGUAAUUUGGCAAGCGCUUGCUGAAAGCCCUGCAGAUACAAAACAACACUUAUUUCAAGUCUUGAGAAACAUCUCCUACUAAGUAGAAGAAAAAAGCAUUUAGGUGAAGCAAUGUUGCCAGUCCCAUUUGUUUGUGAGGCUUGGUUUUUGUCUUUAUACAUUUUAAAUGCUUUUUAUUUUCCUUCUGCUCUUUAAGCCUUUCAAGUUCAUGUUUUCCAUAUGACAAGAAAGUCUGGAAUCAAGUCCUCACUUUAAAAAGCAAAAAUUUGGUUCAGAGUCCUGUGUAAUCAUGUAGCUCCAGACAUGGGGUGUUUAAAAAUAAAGCCACUUUGGUGAGAACUACCUAUCUUGAA
Molecule: long non-coding RNA, 3069 nt
Organism: Parus major (Great Tit)
Lineage: Eukaryota; Metazoa; Chordata; Aves; Passeriformes; Paridae
Exons: 2
Source: RefSeq, a predicted model, not a curated record